CUUCACCCUGUCUUUAAAAACAUUUCCCUGAAAGCUGUAGGGAGUUGGGGCUUCUGGAGAAUUAGCUGCUUGCUUUCCUUGCUUGGCGUCUCUUGGAUAAAGACUUUCCUUUAUCAACACUGUGUCGGUAGUUUGGUCUUAUUGCGAGAGGGCGCGUAGACCCAAGUUUGGUUCGGUUACACCUCCGUCAUUUUGAUCACCAUCGCACACUUUGACCUCAGGUCAGACCAAACUCCUUGGGUAUAAUAAUGCUGCUGCUGCUGCUAAUAAUAAUAACUAAAUAUGCAAAUCUGCUAAUAAAAAUAACAAUAACUGUGCUCUUUGAGCACUAACUGCAACCCAGACCCUCUGCUAAGCACCUUUGUGGGUCAUCAUCCUUGUUCCGUCUUCAUAACCACUUUGUGAGGGAGACUGAAUGUGACCCUGACUGUGAAAUCUGUGUUCCUGAUAGAAUUAUAUAGAUACAAUCUUCUACUAAUAGCAGCACUUUGGCUUAGUGGUGGCUGGAUCUGUAUUAAUAUUUUGGGUCUUAAUUGGUGACUGGAUCGACAGGAAACCAAAAAAGAAAGAAGGGAGCUGGAACAGUUCUGGCACUGCUGGCUCACCGUGUCUUCCAUCCACCCUGUGUGCCGUGAGAGUAAACGUCAGAGGCAAGACGCGAAUGCCCUUCAGUGAGUCAUCUCUGGGUGGUCCUGCUCACUGAUUUGGGAUCUAACUAAUCUUUAAGCAGUGUUCUCCUCACCCGUAAUUUUCAAAUCAGAGCCUAAAUCUCACAGACAUGAAGGCAAUGGAACAGCAGCGUCUCUGUCUGCAAGGUGGUCUGCUAUGCAGUCGUGAUCACUCUGGUGGCCUUGGCGAACCUGGCCAGCACGGCACUGACCAUUACCAUUCGGAGAGACUGGGUUGUGAGCCAGGUGACAGCAGAGGCCAGCUGGCUGGUGAGCUGUGCCACCCCAAGACACAACAGAGCAUCACAGCUUCUCUAAUCUGCUGAGAAGUGAAAUGAACUCUUAGGAAACCACUGAUGGAUUCAUCAAGAAGCCCUAAACCUUGGAAAAGCCAAGAGACCAGAGGUCUCACCUUAAAGGUAUCUGGUCCUUCGACCUCACCGUGACCCAGCUUCUUCAGGAGAACAUUCCAGAAGCAGAGCAAGGGGCUGCGAACGGUGUGCAAUGCUUCCUGAACCACCUCAUGGCCCUCCAUCCACUUCGUCUGGGUCAUGCUGGCUCUGCGGCCAUGGCAUUUCAGCGUCUCGUCUUCAUCUUCAUCCUAUUUGUAACCAUGGGGCACAUGCUGUAUUUUUUUUUUUUUAAUGCAAGAAAGUGUAAGAUUAGAAACGCCCAUGUUCAGAAGACAGCAAAGAAGGGAGCUUUAACCUGACAGUAUGAAGAUUCCCCUACAUCUAGCAUGGACAGAAGUGUUGACAGAGGGAGGAGUUUUGGCAGAACAACAGAAGUCAAGUACGGCAAUGGCAAAGAAAAAGCCAACUACUAAGCCUGUCUGUCUACCACAUUACUUUAUUGGCUUCCAAAUAAACCCAAUCCUAGGGGACAAAAGAUGUGAAUCCAUAUCAGAAGAGAGAGGCAGUUCUGGAUUCCUGAGGUGUGUAAAGCUUUGAUUCUGCCCCCUCUCUGUAAGGUCUGUUUUCACCAGUCCAUAGCCCUAGGCUUGGUCUUGGAGCUGGGUUCUUCAGGAUAGGCUUCCUGUACAUGAGCUCAUAUGGACUCAACCUGAGUUUCCUUUGGGGGCCAUUUGCAUUCUCAAAAGUGCUGUGGGGAGAAGGGAGAUCUAGGCUGAUGAAUGAACCACAGGAGAAUUCCUAAAUUUUUGCUGAGGGUUUGGUUUGUUCUACUUUUCCUGAGGAUUGUGGCCUCCAAGUAGCGUGUGAACCCCAUUUGAUUCGUAGAGCUCUAGAGUUUCUCUUAGUAAUUUGGGAAAAUAACAUGGGCCCGUUGUGACUCUGGAUGGAUAUAAGGAGCCUGAGCUGAAGAUUACUUCCUUGAGCAAGGCCUUAGACCUCCAAGCAGUCUCUGUUUGAGUGGGGAAUGCUCCAUUAGUUGGAGAAGGUGUCAAAACCAGCAUAGGAGUUCCCUGGUAGCCUCAUGGUUAAGGAUUAGGCAUUGUCACUGCUAUGGUUCGAGUUCAUUUCCCAGCCUGGGAACCUCUGUGUACCAUGAAUGUGGCCAAAAAACAAAACAAAACCAGGAUAUAUCUAAAAUUUAAUUGCCCCAGGGCAUUACUGUGAAAUCAGAUUGCCAGUCUUAACCUGCAUAUGUGCCUUUAUACUGGGUGGGGGUCACUCCCUUGGCCUUGGGUCGGGGGAGGUGUGUUGGGCUUAUUCCAGAGGCAGAUAGGGCAGCUUUUACCACCUGUUUAAGUAGACUGCAGAAAUUGGGAGUAGUCAUGGAUUGGAUAAGCUGUUGAUACAGGGCCUCCUGCCCAUAAAGUAUGCUCUAGUGAGUUUCCCAGAGAGCAAUGGCUGAUGGGAGAAUAGCUGCCCAUGACCAUUAACCAGCUACCUGGGUAUUAUGCCUUUUAAAACAACCCCACCUUUGAGUUUCCUGGUGGCCUAGUGGUUUAGGAUUUGGCAUUGUCACUGCUGUGGCUCAGAUUUGAUCCUUGGUCUAGGAAAUUCUGCAUGCUGUGGGCAUGGCCAAAACAAAAACAGCCCCAUCUCAAAGCCUUUUCCCUUAUUUCUGGGGUGUAUAUGGGAGUGUUGGAGUUAGGGAGUGGGGGAGAUGGUAGGAGUGGCAUUUGAAGUCUGUCUGCACCCUUUGCUGCUUGUGUAACUGCCAUAUCUGCUCUGUUAUUCCCUCUUAUAAUUCCUCCUUCUCCCUUUUGAUGGCCUCUGCAGUGAAUAACUGCUACUCCUUUGGCAGGAGUAUACCCUCCAGCAGCUGCAUAAUCCACCCCCCCCCCAUUAUUAAUCUUUUUAUUCUGAGGUCAGCAUUCCUUUCCCCAUCUAGCUGACCCCAUGGGUAUGUUGGAUUCAACAGGCAUAUUUAGAGUCAGUUUAAAUGGUGACAACUUUGCCUUUCCCAGGUUCUAGUGCUCUGACUAGGGUAGAUAACUCACCUUUAUAGGGAGAACAGACAGAAGGCAAAGCCUCAGCUGUUUGGUCCAAUUCUUAAAGAAAAAAAAAAAAAAAAAAAAAAGCUAACCCGGAGUCAGAGGUCCCAUUUUUGUGUAAGCACUCCCAGGCAGUUAAAACUUCCCACUAGAAUCAAAUAUGUGUCCAUUCCCCAUGUAGUUCUCUUGGCCCUUGCCUUAGUGUUUUGAGGUUAUGUAAUUAGAUGCAUACAUGUUUAGAAAUUAAGACUUUCUGUUGAAUGUACCUUAUAUCUUUUUAAGUGUCUCCUUUAACUCUAGUAAUGUUUUUUGCCUUAAAGUCUAUUUUUCUGAUGUUAACAUAACUAUGCUUGCUUGAGAGGGGGCUGUAGUUGUGUCCAUAUAGAUGGAGGGGACUGGUCAGGUAAAUCUAACAUGGGAGCUUUCAUGAGAUGAUUUUUUAUUUCAAGGAAAGCCUGGACAAAGUCAGGGAUCCACUAGAAAGGGUCCUUCCCUUUUAAUUGUUCAUAAAGGGCUUAGCAAUUAAACCAAAGUUUGGGAUCCAUAUGCAGAAGAACCCUCCCAUCCCCAGAAAACCCUGGGGCUGCUUUCUUGUACUCUUGGGGGGCUGCCAUCUGGUAAAUCAACUCCUUCUUCUCCCUAACUAGUGCCCCAUGCCCCUUUUCUGUAACAAACCCUAAGUAUUCUUCCCACUGGAGGGAGAUCUGGGCUU
This is a non-coding RNA of Sus scrofa (pig), 3781 nucleotides long. The record is from RefSeq and is a predicted model, not a curated record. NCBI's taxonomy places the organism in Eukaryota, Metazoa, Chordata, Mammalia, Artiodactyla, Suidae.